Molecule: ribosomal RNA, 465 nt
Filed under: uncultured bacterium
Lineage: Bacteria
Description: partial 16S ribosomal RNA
Rfam family: Bacterial small subunit ribosomal RNA
Source: RNAcentral
CCUACGGGAGGCUGCAGUGGGGAAUAUUGCGCAAUGGGCGAAAGCCUGACGCAGCGACGCCGCGUGAGGGAUGAAGGUCUUCGGAUCGUAAACCUCUGUCAGCAGGGAAGAACGGUCACUGUGCUAAUCAGCAGUGAAUUGACGGUACCUGCAAAGGAAGCACCGGCUAACUACGUGCCAGCAGCCGCGGUAAUACGGAGGGUGCGAGCGUUAAUCGGAAUUACUGGGCGUAAAGCGCUCGUAGGCGGUAUGUCAAGUCUAAGGUGAAAUCCCCGCGCUCAACGUGGGAACUGCCUUUGAAACUGGCAAACUGGAGUGUGGGAGAGGAUAGUGGAAUUCCAGGUGUAGGAGUGAAAGCCGUAGAUAUCUGGAGGAACAGCAGUGGCGAAGGCGACUAUCUGGCACAUAACUGACGCUGAGGAGCGAAAGCGUGGGUAGCAAACAGGAUUAGAUACCCCAGUAGUC